RNAcentral lists this ribosomal RNA (201 nucleotides) under uncultured bacterium. Its description in RNAcentral is "partial 16S ribosomal RNA". It matches the Rfam family "Bacterial small subunit ribosomal RNA", at positions 294 to 512 of the family's 1533-position model. The record is from RNAcentral.
GAGAGGGCGACCGGCCACAUUGGGACUGAGACACGGCCCAAACUCCUACGGGAGGCAGCAGUGGGGAAUAUUGCACAAUGGGGGAAACCCUGAUGCAGCGACGCCGCGUGAGCGAAGAAGUAUUUCGGUAUGUAAAGCUCUAUCAGCAGGGAAGAUAAUGACGGUACCUGACUAAGAAGCCCCGGCUAACUACGUGCCAGC